RNAcentral lists this long non-coding RNA (789 nucleotides) under Fragaria vesca (wild strawberry). RNAcentral describes it as "long non-coding RNA (FVES_LNC004434)". The record is from RNAcentral. Lineage: Eukaryota; Viridiplantae; Streptophyta; Magnoliopsida; Rosales; Rosaceae.
CAAUAAUUUGGCCCAUAAUGCUUGUAGCAUAAUGUGGGUUGUAAAUUGGUAAAUGCUUCUGACAUUACAUGUCCUUAAAUGACAUAUUGAAUUUGACACAAAUCAAAUUUGUAACUGACAAAAUAUACAUAUUAAGCUACAAUUAAGUAACAUAAUUAGCACUGAAAUGUCGUUAUACCAUUGACGUAACAUUUACUAACGGAUUUUAUUUAAACCCUAUUAAGAGCAAUAUUAAUUCCUUUUUAUCACUAAAUGCUUCAGGCAUAAUGAAUAUGGAAUAUAUGUAACGUCUGCUAUCAUUGACCAAAUUAAUAGUAAAACCUUAAUGGUUACAAGCACUACUUCCGGAAUGCAUGCAUGAUCUUGAGUUUGGAUAUCAUGAAAAACUAUACUUUUUGCUGAUCCAUGUGCCUCCUUGUCUGCACUACUAGGCAGUUGCGAAGGUUGAUUUCGGUGGCUACUGACUUCCAUAGUGAUUUCCUUUUUUGGUGCUAUAUUUUCCUUUUCCAAUUCUCAUAACAUAAGAAAACUUAUAUGACAUUUCAUGUUCAUAUGUAUUAACCAAAUAGACUAAUACAAUAUAUUUGGUGCUCAUGCAUCGUAGACGGAUUUUUCAAUAUGCAAUCAAAGUUAAUAAGCAUGAAAUCAUAAAAUCGAAACAUAAACAACAUAUGGUUCAUGCUUCAGGAUGGUUUUUCAUGUAAUCAAGGUUUAAAAGAAACAUGAAUUAUAAUAGAGUUUAGAAAACUUUACUCGAUGCAAAACGAAUCAAUGAGUGUUCAUCUUAUG